UACGUAGGGUGCGAGCGUUAAUCGGAAUUACUGGGCGUAAAGAGCUCGUAGGCGGUUUGUCGCGUCUGCUGUGAAAACUCAGGGCUUAACCCUGAGCCUGCAGUGGGUACGGGCAGACUAGAGUGUGGUAGGGGAGAUCGGAAUUCCUGGUGUAGCGGUGGAAUGCGCAGAUAUCAGGAGGAACACCGGUGGCGAAGGCGGAUCUCUGGGCCAUAACUGACGCUGAGGAGCGAAAGCAUGGGGAGCGAACAGG
Molecule: ribosomal RNA, 253 nt
Filed under: uncultured bacterium
Lineage: Bacteria
Description: partial 16S ribosomal RNA
Rfam family: Bacterial small subunit ribosomal RNA
Source: RNAcentral